Molecule: long non-coding RNA, 960 nt
Filed under: Mytilus galloprovincialis (Mediterranean mussel)
Lineage: Eukaryota; Metazoa; Mollusca; Bivalvia; Mytilida; Mytilidae
Source: RNAcentral
CACUAAAGCGCAAGGUCAACUUUAAAAAAUGCAUAAGAUGUCCGUAACUUUUUGAUCGAAACUAAGCAGACUGUCCGUAACUUUAUUUUUAGAUGUGGGUAAGUUUUGAUUUAAAAUUUUAAGAAUUAUAAUUUCAACAAUUAGAAGACAAUUAACAUCAUAUUUGUAACCUUCGCGGCCGUUUAUACUACUCAUUCACCACCAAAUGUGAUUUUAUUAACGCAUCAUACUUACACCACAGAAGUUUUAUGUGGGGUUUGUGGUACUCCAUCCUGGUUAUGGUUUGAACUUUUAUUUACUGAUGUGCGUCUUAUCGACGUUUUUCACUCGUCAGACCAAGGCUUUUCCAUACUCUUUAAUGUUUUGAGUUUAAUUAUAUGUUUGCGGUUUACCUUCACCUCUGUUUCUUUCUAUGUGUAUUUUGAUGAAUACUCUUUGACGCGGCUCGGUAUUUAUACAUCCCACCAGUUAGUUAUAGUGUUAUGAUUUUUUGAAUAUGUUUCCUAGUAUGUUUUUUUUCUCUCUUUGUAUGUUAUCAGGGGUUGUUAGACUAUUAAAUUACCCUGUUGUCCUACGUAGUUAUUUAUAUUUUUAUAUACUAUGUCGAAUUGUUACACUAUGUUGACUGCUCUUUUCCUUUUAUUCACAACGGUCACUGACUUUUACCUAUUGUGUCUUUUAGUUUUAUUCAGUUUAAUGAGAUUUAAUGCAACUUGCAUACAAAUGAAAUAUGCAGCUAGCUGUAAAACUAGGUUUAUUCAUUUAUACAAAAUGUCCUUUUUUAAAGUUUUCCCAUUUACUGUAAACCUUGGCCAGGGUGCCGCAAUAUCACCGUGCGCAACGUCCCAGUGUGUCCAGAUUGACACCCCCUUUAUUUUACUGUCAAUGCUGAUGGGAUUUGUUUUUGUGGGGAUGAGAGAAAAGUGUUUUAAGCUUUUUCAAAAAGACGGAAAAAAGUUU